GCCAUGGUGGAAGGCACCUGUAGUCUCAUCUACUUGAGAGACUGAGGUUGGAGGAUCACUUGGGCCUAGUUCUGGGCUGUAAUGCCUUAUGUAUGCCCAUCAGUGUCGAUACUGGAGCUGGGGCCUACCAGGUGGCCUAAGGAGAAAUGAAGCCACCCAGAUUGGAAACAGCAGGUAAAAAGUCUCAUGCUGAUUAGAAGUGGGAUCAUGUCUGUGAAUAACCACUGCACUCCAGCCUAAGCAACAUAGGGAGACCCAUCUCU
Molecule: non-coding RNA, 263 nt
Filed under: Nomascus leucogenys (northern white-cheeked gibbon)
Lineage: Eukaryota; Metazoa; Chordata; Mammalia; Primates; Hylobatidae
Source: RNAcentral